CCUACGGGUGGCAGCAGUGAGGAAUAUUGGUCAAUGGGCGCAAGCCUGAACCAGCCAUGCCGCGUGCAGGAAGACGGCCCUAUGGGUUGUAAACUUCUUUUGUACGAGGGUAAACGGAGAUACGUGUAUCUGUCUGAAAGUAUCUUACGAAUAAGGAUCGGCUAACUCCGUGCCAGCAGCCGCGGUAAUACGGAGGAUUCAAGCGUUAUCCGGAUUUAUUGGGUUUAAAGGGUGCGUAGGCGGUCGGAUAAGGUCGGGGUGAAAGUCUGAGGCUCAACCGUGGAAUUGCCUUUGAUACUGGCCGGCUUGAGUGUAGUUGCGGUAGGCGGAAUGUGUGGUGUAGCGGUGAAAUGCUUAGAGAUCACACAGAACACCGAUUGCGAAGGCAGCUUACCAACCUACUACUGACGUUGAGGCACGAAAGCGUGGGGAUCAAACAGGAUUAGAUACCCCAGUAGUC
Molecule: ribosomal RNA, 460 nt
Filed under: uncultured bacterium
Lineage: Bacteria
Description: partial 16S ribosomal RNA
Rfam family: Bacterial small subunit ribosomal RNA
Source: RNAcentral